RNAcentral lists this small RNA (125 nucleotides) under Beta vulgaris subsp. vulgaris (sugar beet). RNAcentral's name for it is "Alphaproteobacterial ar14". It matches the Rfam family "Alphaproteobacterial ar14". Rfam says of the family: Smr14C2 was renamed NfeR1 (Nodule Formation Efficiency RNA) highly expressed in salt stress and during the symbiotic interaction on legume roots. The record is from Rfam by way of RNAcentral. Lineage: Eukaryota; Viridiplantae; Streptophyta; Magnoliopsida; Caryophyllales; Amaranthaceae.
AUCGGUCGGGCGACGCAUCCCUCCUCCUCCCAGCGUCCCCGACAGGAUUGGCGGCCCUCCUCCUCCAAGGUCGCCGAUCGAGAUCGGAACGCCUGCCGGACCUCCUCCCCCGGCAGGCGUUUCUU